GACGAACGCUGGCGGCGUGCUUAACACAUGCAAGUCGAACGGAAAGGCCCUGCUUUUGUGGGGUGCUCGAGUGGCGAACGGGUGAGUAACACGUGAGUAACCUGCCCUUGACUUUGGGAUAACUUCAGGAAACUGGGGCUAAUACCGGAUAGGAGCUCCUGCUGCAUGGUGGGGGUUGGAAAGUUUCGGCGGUUGGGGAUGGACUCGCGGUUUAUCAGCUUGUUGGUGGGGUAGGGGCUUACCAAGGCUUUGACGGGUAGCCGGCCUGAGAGGGUGACCGGCCACAUUGGGACUGCGAUACGGACCAGUCUCCUACGGGAGGCAGCAGUGGGGAAUAUUGCACAAUGGGGGGAAGCCUGAUGCAGCAACGCCGCGUGCGGGAUGACGGCCUUCGGGUUGUAAACCGCUUUCGCCUGUGCCGAAGCGUGAGUGACGGUAAUGGGUCAAGAAGCACCGGCUAACUACGUG
RNAcentral lists this ribosomal RNA (468 nucleotides) under uncultured bacterium. RNAcentral's name for it is "partial 16S ribosomal RNA". It matches the Rfam family "Bacterial small subunit ribosomal RNA", at positions 28 to 507 of the family's 1533-position model. The record is from RNAcentral.